GGGGAAUUAGCUCAGUUGGUAGAGCGCUUGCAUGGCAUGCAAGAGGUCAGCGGUUCGAACCCGCUAUUCUCCACUA
This 76-nucleotide transfer RNA is filed under the name Chitinophagia bacterium. RNAcentral describes it as "tRNA-Ala". It matches the Rfam family "tRNA". From Rfam's summary of the family: Transfer RNA (tRNA) molecules are approximately 80 nucleotides in length. Their secondary structure includes four short double-helical elements and three loops (D, anti-codon, and T loops). Further hydrogen bonds mediate the characteristic L-shaped molecular structure. tRNAs have two regions of fundamental functional importance: the anti-codon, which is responsible for specific mRNA codon recognition, and the 3' end, to which the tRNAs corresponding amino acid is attached (by aminoacyl-tRNA synthetases). tRNAs cope with the degeneracy of the genetic code in two manners: having more than one tRNA (with a specific anti-codon) for a particular amino acid; and 'wobble' base-pairing, i.e. permitting non-standard base-pairing at the 3rd anti-codon position. The record is from RNAcentral. Lineage: Bacteria; Pseudomonadati; Bacteroidota; Chitinophagia.